Ornithorhynchus anatinus (platypus) is the source of this 1791-nucleotide long non-coding RNA. RefSeq lists it as uncharacterized. The transcript is spliced from 4 exons. NCBI's taxonomy places the organism in Eukaryota, Metazoa, Chordata, Mammalia, Monotremata, Ornithorhynchidae. The record is from RefSeq and is a predicted model, not a curated record.
AGAACUCAUGACCCCCUGACUCCCAGGCCUGUGCUCCAGCCAUUGGGCCGCCGCCGUCGCCGCAGAAGAGUGACAACCUCCUCGCUAUCUUAAAGCCCCUCUGGUAGCUCUCUCCCACUACAGGCCGGCUCACGUAUGCGCUCAUCUAAUACCCACCUACUCACUGUCCUUCACUCUCACCUCGUUAUCUGUCAACUCUUCGCUCACGUGUUCCGGAACUCCCUCCCCCUACUUGUCUGACCGACCAGCCCUCUCCCCAUCUCCAGAGUCCUACUGAAAUCCCCUCUCGUCCAGGAAGUCUUCCCUGAUUCAACUCUCAUCCCCUCACCCUAUUGUCCUCCCUACUGCUUCCCCCAUGCGCCGAGGGACACCCGCUAAGCACUUAGGCGCUCACCGCACCCUCACGGCACUUGCAGUCGCAUCCUUAUUCUUGAUUGCUUCCCUUAGCUGUAAUCCGUUUACCGUCUCCCCGUCGGUCUGGAAGUUCCUCGAGGGCAGGGAUCGUGUCUGCCCAAAUGCUUAGUGCGGUGCCGUGCCGCGGGUGCUCGGUAAGCACCGCUGACGGGUAUUUCUUAAGUACUUCGUUAAACGCUGGGGCAGAUUAUACUGCAGUCGUACACCGCAGUCUGCCCCUUAGAGGGUUCGCAGUCUAAGGGAGAGGGAGGACGACUCUUUCAUCUCCACCUUACAGUUCCACGCUCUUGCCAUUGGACUGCACUGCUUCUUCCGCAUUUGAGGAUGACUGGGCCGGCGGUGAGUCCUUCUCCUGGAUAAAGAAUUCAAGACGGUGUGUCCUUCUGCCCAAGCACGUGGUUACGAUGGAGGAACUGUGAAAGCACAGAGCAAUCCAGGAUCCCUCCUGACCCAUCUUUCUAGAAAACGGAGCAAAGAAAGAAACAAGGAAUGGAACCGCAUAUAUGGGCGGCCCUAGGAAUUACCCACUCACAAUCCAGAGUGGGUAAAGGCCUGGCCGCGGUCACCGAGGCUCCCUCUUCUGGCCUCCCGCCUGCUUUCUGCUGCAGUGCCCUGCCCUUGAAGCCCAGAAAACCGGAAGGGAUUGGAAGCGUUCGUCUCGUCCGUCCCCCUGCCCCUGAGAGGCCUGCAUGCGGAUCAUCCCAGACGAGGAUGGAGUCCAACCCAGGAGAAGGGGAGAGGAAUACGCUGGCAUCGUCGCUGAGCAGGAUCCCGGAGGCCUUCACGAUGGGGAAGCACGAGGACCAGAAAAUGGCUUCGCCGGAGACAGAGCUAACAGACCGCAGUGGAGCUUGAGCCACCCCCUAGGCAUACCUGUCUCUGGAUCGGACUGAACAGAGAGCAGCCCUGCCAGACCUACCCUGCUAUGACAAACUGUCCUGAAAUUAGUCAACUAAUCAAUGAAUGACAUUUCUUGAGCGCUUACUGUGUGCAGAGCAUGUACUGAGCGCUUGGGAAAGUACAACACAAACACUUUGGUAGACGCGUUCCCUGCCCCCUGUGGACUGUAAGCUCCCCGUGGGCAGGGAUCAUUUCUAUCAAUUCUAUCGUACCAAGUGCCUGGUAUGGUGCUCUGCACACAAAAAGAGCUCAAUAAAUAUAACUGACUGAUUGAUUGAAAAAAACGCACGGUUGGUGCCUCCGCUCAUAGUUUCUAUGCUUCCCACUAAAAUCCCUUCUCCAUAUUUUUUCUACUUAGGGGUAGGAAACAAGUGAUUAAAGAAGGUUUUCACGGAUUCCAUUCUCCUGGGGGCUAACCUGAUUAUCUCUCAGGAGAGCUCUUGGCCUAGUGGAAAGAGCAUGGGGCUGGAAGUCAGA